UCCUCCGCUUAUUGAUAUGCUUAAGUUCAGCGGGUAUUCCUACCUGAUCCGAGGUCAACUCUAAGAAAGUUGGGCGUUUUACGGCGUGACCGCCUCCGCGCUCCGGUGCGAGGUGUGUGCUACUACGCAGGGGAGGCUGCGGCGGGGUCGCCACUGCAUUUCGGGGGCGGCUGGUGUGCCGUCCCCCAACACCGAGGCCCCCGGGGGGGCUCGAGGGUUGAAAUGACGCUCGAACAGGCAUGCCCGCCAGAAUGCUGGCGGGCGCAAUGUGCGUUCAAAGAUUCGAUGAUUCACUGAAUUCUGCAAUUCACAUUACUUAUCGCAUUUCGCUGCGUUCUUCAUCGAUGCCAGAACCAAGGGAUCCGUUGUUGAAAGUUUUGAUUCAUUUGUUUUUGCUUGUGCAACUCAGAGAAGAAAUUCCGCCCGCUGGGCGUAAUGCAAGAGAGUUUGGGGUCCCUGCGGCGGGCGCCUGGGUCCGGCGCCGGCGCGGGGGCCGGCGGCCGGGGCGUUCCCGCCGAGGCAACUGAGGUAAGGUUCACAGUGGGUUUGGGAGUUGUAUAACUCGGUAAUGAUCCCUCCGCUGGUUCACCAACGGAGACCUUGUUACGACUUUUACUUCC
RNAcentral lists this unclassified non-coding RNA (620 nucleotides) under Purpureocillium sp. MCM_HumanF8-1. RNAcentral describes it as "partial contains 18S rRNA, ITS1, 5.8S rRNA, ITS2 and 28S RNA". Lineage: Eukaryota; Fungi; Ascomycota; Sordariomycetes; Hypocreales; Ophiocordycipitaceae. The record is from RNAcentral.